UACGUAGGGCGCGAGCGUUGUCCGGAAUCAUUGGGCGUAAAGAGCUCGUAGGCGGUCGGUUGCGUCUGCUGUGAAAUCCCGGGGCUUAACCCCGGGCGUGCAGUGGAUACGGGCUGGCUGGAGGCAGGCAGGGGAGAAUGGAAUUCCCGGUGUAGCGGUGAAAUGCGCAGAUAUCGGGAGGAACACCGGUGGCGAAGGCGGUUCUCUGGGCCUGUGCUGACGCUGAGGAGCGAAAGCGUGGGGAGCGAACAGG
RNAcentral lists this ribosomal RNA (253 nucleotides) under uncultured bacterium. RNAcentral describes it as "partial 16S ribosomal RNA". It matches the Rfam family "Bacterial small subunit ribosomal RNA", at positions 524 to 776 of the family's 1533-position model. The record is from RNAcentral.